Molecule: ribosomal RNA, 161 nt
Filed under: Saxifraga stolonifera (creeping saxifrage)
Lineage: Eukaryota; Viridiplantae; Streptophyta; Magnoliopsida; Saxifragales; Saxifragaceae
Also listed under: 1 other name
Description: 5.8S ribosomal RNA
Rfam family: 5.8S ribosomal RNA
About the family: 5.8S ribosomal RNA (5.8S rRNA) is a component of the large subunit of the eukaryotic ribosome. It is transcribed by RNA polymerase I as part of the 45S precursor that also contains 18S and 28S rRNA.
Source: RNAcentral
UUAAUGACUCUCGGCAACGGAUAUCUCGGCUCUUACAUCGAUGAAGAACGUAGCGAAAUGCGAUACUUGGUGUGAAUUGCAGAAUCCCGUGAACCAUCGAGUCUUUGAACGCAAGUUGCGCCCGAAUCCAUCCGGUCGAGGGCACGUCUGCCUGGGUGUCA